This 65-nucleotide transfer RNA is filed under the name Sininocellia gigantos. RNAcentral's name for it is "tRNA-Gly". The record is from RNAcentral. Lineage: Eukaryota; Metazoa; Arthropoda; Insecta; Raphidioptera; Inocelliidae.
ACUUAUAUAAUAUAAAAAGUAUAUUUGACUUCCAAUCAAAAAGUCUAAUUAUUUUAGUAUAAGUA